This is a long non-coding RNA of Prunus persica (peach), 719 nucleotides long. RefSeq lists it as uncharacterized. The record is from RefSeq and is a predicted model, not a curated record. Lineage: Eukaryota; Viridiplantae; Streptophyta; Magnoliopsida; Rosales; Rosaceae. The transcript is spliced from 5 exons.
AUUGUUAGUCUUUAAUUUCUGUGAAUCGAUCAGUAUUAUCCUCCUUGUGAUUCCUUCAAACAAUUAAAUUUUUCUCUUAUUCAAUUCGUACCUGCAGCACUUUUGUCUCAUGACAUUGCAUUCUGCAGAAUUUCUCUCAGGUUCUCUUACACCCUAAUUCACAUUCGUAGUAGAGCACUUUGAUCUCAUGACAUCGCAUUCUGCCGAAUUUCUCGCAGAUUCUCUUACACCCUAAUUCAUAUUGGUAUUAGAGGAAAGCAAGGGCAUAGAAGACUUUGGUGAUGUUAUUAGAGAAGCCGGUUGAUUUGUUUAAAGUACGUGGGAAGUUUGCCUUAUCAUAUGUUUAUGAAGAUCGCUUUUUACUCUACAAAGGGAAAAUUCUUCUAGUCACUCAUCGAAGAUUGAUACUGUGGCAAGUAAGUUAGCUGGAUUAGAAUCAUUGCUAUCUAUCCCUUCCUAUCUGCUAUACACCAUUCAACGACACCUCCUUGCGCCUUCGUCAGUACUCGCAGCGUUGUUCGUGGGCACCAAGUAAUAUGAAAACUUCUCUAUGUUUGAUUAGAGUUGAAUAUGCUCCGUGGAUUUUUAUAUCGGGAGAAGCCUUCAAAUUACUGUACAAAUACAUAGAGAGGAGCAUUUAUUCCAAUUGCCUUUGAGUUUUUCCUUUCCCCAACAAAAAGAAAGAAAAAUCUGACCCAAAAAAAUAAUAAUGAAGGAAG